AACGCACCUUGCGCCCUCCGGUAUCCCGGUGGGCAUGCCUGUUCGAGCGUCAUUUAGUCCGUCAAACAUCGCUUGGUGUUGGGCGCCUCGUCCCUCGAUCACCCGGGACGGCCCCGAAAGGAAUCGGCGGCGGAACGUGGCCUCGGGCGUAGCGGAAUCAUCGUGCAAACGACGCCCGCCGGGUCCACGGCACCGUCCGGCCCCCCAGAAAUCACCGUGCAUCCGCGCGGGAAACCCCACGAGAUUGACCUCGGAUCAGGCAGGAGUACCCGCUGAACUUAA
RNAcentral lists this unclassified non-coding RNA (282 nucleotides) under uncultured fungus. RNAcentral's name for it is "partial contains 5.8S ribosomal RNA, internal transcribed spacer 2, and large subunit ribosomal RNA". The record is from RNAcentral. Lineage: Eukaryota; Fungi.